Molecule: transfer RNA, 74 nt
Filed under: Mycoplasmatota bacterium
Lineage: Bacteria; Bacillati; Mycoplasmatota
Description: Tenericutes bacterium (anaerobic digester metagenome) tRNA-Trp
Rfam family: tRNA
About the family: Transfer RNA (tRNA) molecules are approximately 80 nucleotides in length. Their secondary structure includes four short double-helical elements and three loops (D, anti-codon, and T loops).
Source: RNAcentral
AGGGGCAUAAUUUAAUGGUAGAAUGACAGUCUCCAAAACUGUUUGUGCGAGUUCAACUCUUGCUGCCCCUGCCA